UACGUAGGGGGCAAGCGUUGUCCGGAAUUAUUGGGCGUAAAGAGCGUGUAGGCGGGCCGUCAAGUCUGGGGUGAAAUCCCGCGGCUCAACCGUGGAACUGCCUCAGAUACUGACGGUCUCGAGGGGGAUAGGGGCGAGCGGAACUGUGAGUGGAGCGGUGAAAUGCGUUGAUAUUCACAGGAACUCCGGUGGCGAAGGCGGCUCGCUGGAUCUCUUCUGACGCUGAGGCGCGAAAGCCAGGGGAGCAAACGGG
Molecule: ribosomal RNA, 253 nt
Filed under: uncultured bacterium
Lineage: Bacteria
Description: partial 16S ribosomal RNA
Rfam family: Bacterial small subunit ribosomal RNA
Source: RNAcentral